Molecule: ribosomal RNA, 497 nt
Filed under: uncultured bacterium
Lineage: Bacteria
Description: partial 16S ribosomal RNA
Rfam family: Bacterial small subunit ribosomal RNA
Source: RNAcentral
GAUGAACGCUGGCGGCGUGCCUAAUACAUGCAAGUCGAGCGAACAGACGAUGAGCUUGUUCCUCGGACGUUAGGGGCGGGCGGGUGAGUAACACGUGUAUAACCUACCUAUCAGACGGGGAUAACUUCGGGAAACCGGCGCUAAUACCGGAGAAUAUAUUGAACCGCAUGGUGCGAUAGUGAAAUACGGUGUUGCUGUCACUUAUAGAGGGAUCCGCGCCGCAUGAGCUAGUUGGUCAGGUAAUGGCUUACUAAGGGAACGAUGCGUAGCCGAACUGAGAGGCUGAUCGCCCACCUGGGAACUUAGCCACGGACAAGGCUACUAAGGGAGGCACCAGUCGGCAAUCUUACGCAAUGGGCGAAAGCAUGACGGAGCAAGGCCGCGUGAGUGAUGAAGGUCUUCGGAUCGUAAAAAUCUGUUAUGAGGGAUGAACAAAUGUGUAAGUAAAUAUGCACGUAUUGACGGUACCUAAUAAGAAAGCACCGGCUAACUACGUG